This 433-nucleotide ribosomal RNA is filed under the name uncultured bacterium. RNAcentral describes it as "partial 16S ribosomal RNA". It matches the Rfam family "Bacterial small subunit ribosomal RNA", at positions 29 to 507 of the family's 1533-position model. The record is from RNAcentral.
AACGAACGCUGGCGGCAUGCCUAACACAUGCAAGUCGAACGAGACCUUCGGGUCUAGUGGCGCACGGGUGCGUAACGCGUGGGAACCUGCCCUUAGGUUCGGAAUAACUCCCCGAAAGGGGUGCUAAUACCGGAUAAUGUCUUCGGACCAAAGAUUUAUCGCCUUUGGAUGGGCCCGCGUUGGAUUAGCUAGUUGGUAGGGUAAAAGCCUACCAAGGCGACGAUCCAUAGCUGGUCUGAGAGGAUGGUCAGCCACACUGGGACUGAGACACGGCCCAGACUCCUACGGGAGGCAGCAGUGGGGAAUAUUGGACAAUGGGCGAAAGCCUGAUCCAGCAAUGCCGCGUGAGUGAUGAAGGCCUUAGGGUUGUAAAGCUCUUUUACCCGGGAUGAUAAUGACAGUACCGGGAGGAUAAGCUCCGGCUAACUCCGUG